Molecule: ribosomal RNA, 576 nt
Filed under: uncultured bacterium
Lineage: Bacteria
Description: partial 16S ribosomal RNA
Rfam family: Bacterial small subunit ribosomal RNA
Source: RNAcentral
UGGGGAAUUUUGGACAAUGGGCGAAAGCCUGAUCCAGCAAUGCCGCGUGUGCGAAGAAGGCCUUCGGGUUGUAAAGCACUUUUGUCCGGAAAGAAAUCCUUGGCUCUAAUACAGUCGGGGGAUGACGGUACCGGAAGAAUAAGCACCGGCUAACUACGUGCCAGCAGCCGCGGUAAUACGUAGGGUGCAAGCGUUAAUCGGAAUUACUGGGCGUAAAGCGUGCGCAGGCGGUUUGCUAAGACCGAUGUGAAAUCCCCGGGCUCAACCUGGGAACUGCAUUGGUGACUGGCAGGCUAGAGUAUGGCAGAGGGGGGUAGAAUUCCACGUGUAGCAGUGAAAUGCGCAGAGAUGUGGAGGAAUACCGAUGGCGAAGGCAGCCCCCUGGGCCAAUACUGACGCUCAUGCACGAAAGCGUGGGGAGCAAAACAGGAUUAGAUACCCUGGUAGUCCACGCCCUAAACGAUGUCAACUAGUUGUUGGGGAUUCAUUUCCUUAGUAACGUAGCUAACGCGUGAAGUUGACCGCCUGGGGAGUACGGUCGCAAGAUUAAAACUCAAAUGAAUUGACGGGGUCAUA